RNAcentral lists this ribosomal RNA (620 nucleotides) under uncultured Actinomycetes bacterium. RNAcentral describes it as "bacterial SSU rRNA". It matches the Rfam family "Bacterial small subunit ribosomal RNA", at positions 838 to 1457 of the family's 1533-position model. Lineage: Bacteria; Bacillati; Actinomycetota; Actinomycetes. The record is from RNAcentral.
GAUCCGUGUCGCAGCUAACGCAUUAAGCGCCCCGCCUGGGGAGUACGGCCGCAAGGCUAAAACUCAAAGGAAUUGACGGGGGCCCGCACAAGCGGCGGAGCAUGCGGAUUAAUUCGAUGCAACGCGAAGAACCUUACCAAGGCUUGACAUAUAGUGGAAAACUGCAGAAAUGCAGUCCCCCGCAAGGGUCGCUAUACAGGUGGUGCAUGGUUGUCGUCAGCUCGUGUCGUGAGAUGUUGGGUUAAGUCCCGCAACGAGCGCAACCCUCGUCCUAUGUUGCCAGCACGUAAUGGUGGGAACUCAUGGGAGACUGCCGGGGUCAACUCGGAGGAAGGUGGGGAUGACGUCAAAUCAUCAUGCCCCUUAUGUCUUGGGCUUCACGCAUGCUACAAUGGCCGGUACAAAGGGCUGCAAUACCGCAAGGUGGAGCGAAUCCCAAAAAGCCGGUCUCAGUUCGGAUUGGGGUCUGCAACUCGACCCCAUGAAGUCGGAGUCGCUAGUAAUCGCAGAUCAGCAACGCUGCGGUGAAUACGUUCCCGGGCCUUGUACACACCGCCCGUCAAGUCACGAAAGUCGGUAACACCCGAAGCCGGUGGCCUAACCGUAAGGAAGGAGCCGUC